RNAcentral lists this ribosomal RNA (645 nucleotides) under Onygenales sp. BGE-2017a. Its description in RNAcentral is "eukaryotic LSU rRNA". It matches the Rfam family "Eukaryotic large subunit ribosomal RNA", at positions 138 to 799 of the family's 3401-position model. The record is from RNAcentral. Lineage: Eukaryota; Fungi; Ascomycota; Eurotiomycetes; Onygenales.
CCGAGUUGUAAUUUGUAGAGGAUGCUUCGGGCGUGGCCGCGGUCUAAGUCCCCUGGAACGGGGCGUCGCAGAGGGUGAGAAUCCCGUCUUCGGCCGGCCGGCUUCGCCCAUGUGAAGCUCCUUCGACGAGUCGAGUUGUUUGGGAAUGCAGCUCUAAAUGGGUGGUAAAUUUCAUCUAAAGCUAAAUACUGGUCGGAGACCGAUAGCGCACAAGUAGAGUGAUCGAAAGAUGAAAAGCACUUUGAAAAGAGAGUUAAACAGCAUGUGAAAUUGUUGAAAGGGAAGCGCUUGCGACCAGAGUCGGCCGCGGGGGUUCAGCGGGCAUUCGUUGCCCGUGCACUCCCCCGUGGCCGGGCCAGCGUCGGUUUCGACGGCCGGUCAAAGGCCCCCGGAAUGUGUCACCCUUCGGGGUGUCUUAUAGCCGGGGGUGCAAUGCGGCCAGUCGGGACCGAGGAACGCGCUUCGGCACGGACGCUGGCUUAAUGGUCGUAAGCGACCCGUCUUGAAACACGGACCAAGGAGUCUAACAUCCACGCGAGUGUUCGGGUGUCAAACCCGUCCGCGCAGUGAAAGCGAACGGAGGUGGGAACCCUUAAGGGUGCACCAUCGACCGAUCCAGAAGUCUUCGGAUGGAUUUGAGUAAGA